RNAcentral lists this ribosomal RNA (503 nucleotides) under uncultured bacterium. RNAcentral's name for it is "partial 16S ribosomal RNA". It matches the Rfam family "Bacterial small subunit ribosomal RNA", at positions 30 to 523 of the family's 1533-position model. The record is from RNAcentral.
AUUGAACGCUGGCGGCAGGCUUAACACAUGCAAGUCGAGCGGGGUGAUGGUGCUUGCACUAUCACUUAGCGGCGGACGGGUGAGUAAUGCUUAGGAAUCUGCCUAUUAGUGGGGGACAACAUCUCGAAAGGGAUGCUAAUACCGCAUACGUCCUACGGGAGAAAGCAGGGGAUCACUAGUGACCUUGCGCUAAUAGAUGAGCCUAAGUCGGAUUAGCUAGUUGGUGGGGUAAAGGCCUACCAAGGCGACGAUCUGUAGCGGGUCUGAGAGGAUGAUCCGCCACACUGGGACUGAGCCACGGCCCAGACUCCUACGGGAGGCAGCAGUGGGGAAUAUUGGACAAUGGGGGGAACCCUGAUCCAGCCAUGCCGCGUGUGUGAAGAAGGCCUUAUGGUAGUAAAGCACUUUAAGCGAGGAGGAGGCUCUUUUGGUUAAUACCCAAGAUGAGUGGACGUUACUCGCAGAAUAAGCACCGGCUAACUCUGUGCCAGCCGCCGCAGUAA